RNAcentral lists this small RNA (210 nucleotides) under Arabidopsis thaliana (thale cress). RNAcentral's name for it is "ATSL212620". Lineage: Eukaryota; Viridiplantae; Streptophyta; Magnoliopsida; Brassicales; Brassicaceae. The record is from RNAcentral.
AAAAUAUAUAUAUUUUUUGCCUUUUAGGUAAUGACAUAAUAACUCUAAAAGCAAAGAUUUAGAAGAUUUAAAUCGUUAAUUAAAUAUUUUCAUUUCUAAAUAAUUAAUGUCAGUAGCAUGACAUUGUAAAUAAGUUCAAAUACAGGAUUUAUUUAUUUAAACAAAAAACGUUUAGUAAGAAUAAUAUUUAUUUAAACAAAAAACUUUGUU